GCAUAGAGAUGGAUAGACAGAUAAGCACAGAGAUAGACAGACAGAAAGACAGUCAGUCAACCUACAGAAGGUCUAAGAAUCUAGUAACUGUUCAGUCCACAAGGCUGGAUGUCUCAGCAGGUCUUUAGUAUACACCAGAAUUCUGAAGAGGUAGGCUCUAAUACCAGUGAAGGAAUGCACUUGCCAUCAAGAGUAAGCAGGCAAAGAGCGAAAGCUUCUUCCAUGUGCUAUAUAAAAUGUACUAGAAGUUGUGGCCCAGAUCAAAGGUAGAUUUUCCCACCUCAAAAAAUGUGGAUUAAAGGUGCAUCUUCACACACUUCAUCUAAAAAAUCAGGUAACACAUACCAGGUAACAGCUGCAUUUACUUCAGCUCUGAGACAGACUGAGGGCAGCAGGGCUACAAUCUUUUACUUUGCUUCUAAGAAUCUCGCACUGCCAAGAUAAAUUAUUAAUCGAUGACCAGCCACUUCAAUUGUCCAAUAUGAUUUGUGCUUAUUCAAAGUCUACCUUUUUUCAAAUCAUCACCCAACCUUCCUUCCACCCAAAACCUCACCUCUGCAAAACCUCCCCUACUUCUUCUAGAUUUCAAAAGCUGCCAGCUGUCUGACCUCCUGCUAUGGUUUGAAUGCUUGAAUCCCUCUCCAAAUCUCAUGACAAAACCUUAAAUCUUAUGACGUGAGCUCUGAGCUUCCUGCUCCGGAUGCUAUGCCUGCUGCUGCCAUGCUUCCCAGUGGACUCUUAAUCUUCUGGAACAGAAGCCCAUAUACUCCCUUUCUCCUCAAGAGAGACAGAUCCAACAAGAUAGUUGAGUAAAUUUUGUUUGCUACCAUGUCUGACAACUCGAGUUCCAUCCCUGGGAUCCACAUGAUGGUGGAAGGAGCAAAGGUACUAAAAAUAAGAUACUUUCCACUAAAUCCUCAAGGGCAAGGACUCUGCUUUAUGUCCAGAAUAUUGGCCACAUAGUAGGUAUUCACCCACUAAAUAAAUCACACAAUCAAGCUACCUUA
Peromyscus maniculatus bairdii (prairie deer mouse) is the source of this 1007-nucleotide non-coding RNA. NCBI's taxonomy places the organism in Eukaryota, Metazoa, Chordata, Mammalia, Rodentia, Cricetidae. The record is from RefSeq and is a predicted model, not a curated record.